UACUUUAUGCAAGGCCUUGAUGCUUUGCAUUUCUCUGGUUUGUAUUUUUAGGUUCAAUCUUUCUUUACUGCCUUGAAAGCAUUAUCGUGUAAAGAUAUCCAUUAUGGAGCUUAUGCAACAUCUGAACAGGUGAUCUAGUUACCCCAACUCUGCUCAUUGAUUUCAUGUGCUGAUUUUGUCUUUGCGUUGUUUAAGAAGGUUUAAAAAAAAAUUUCAUUUUUAAUCAGACCUGAAAAUGGUAUCUGCAAUACCUGUUAUCCUUGCCAAUGAGCUCUUGGCAGUCCCAGUGGUUUCAUUUUGUUGUUGCACCUGCAGCAUGGUCUCAUUGCUGCAUUUUGGUCAAUUUAUUGCAACCAUUGCUUUAGGCCCCAUGUCAUGUGCUCAAUUUAGUGCCAUGUUCAUUCGUUGCUUUAAUGGUUUAUGCCUGAACUAGUGUUUUGAGUUUUUUAAAGGCAACUUUUUCAAUAUAUUCAUGUAAUCUAAUGCAGGUUAAUGCAGCAGGGGAUUUGUGUGCCAUUUGCCAGGAAAAUAUGCACGCACCAAUCUUAUUAUGCUGUAAACACAUAUUUUGUGAGGAUUGUGUGUCUGAAUGGUUAGUUUUCUGACUCUAAAUUUGUUAAGAAUUUCUAUUUCCUGCCAUGAUGACAGUAAGCAACAGAAUGGGUGGUUAAACGCGAUCUAAAAUUUGAAUAGCAGUUGACAGCUUAACAUCUUACCAAGGGAAUAUGGAUAAUUCUUUAUGCUUGUGAGACUGAGAAGGAAGAUGAGGAUAUGAUGUAUUACUUACUGGUUGCUGUAGACUUGGAGGCCCUUCAUGUUAUAGUUGUUGAAAAAUUAGAUCAGUGAAGUUCAUUAAUAUUUGGCUGAAGGCAGAGAAUGAGGAUUUGGAGAAGUGGAAAAACCUGAUACCCAUUUUAAAUAUUAUACUGUAUUUGAUUGUUCAAGACUUAAAAGUUUGUCACACUUAAUAUUAAUUGUAGUUUUCCUUUGAAGCUUAAAUGUAUGCAGGGGAAACAUAUAGGUGAAUUUACGAAGUCCUGAACCAGAAGUCAUUAGAAGUUUGAUGUGCUUAGGCCAAUAGAUAUUAAGAAUUGAAACAUCAUUAAAAUUUUCUGGUCUCAACUCAUGCUGGAUGAUGUACAUGAUUGAAAUCUAUUGCUGGUGUGGUAGCCCAUCGGAAUGUCAAAUGGAGGUUGUGUGCCUUUCUAUUGUUCAUAAAAACAUUUUUGAGGCUUACGCUUGAAGUCCUGUCUCAUCUAAAACUUCCAUUGAAUGCCUCAUGCCUUAAGUGCCAUUUGAGGCCUAUGCUUGCUUUAAAAAAAAAAAAAAAAGUAACCUUUUUACGUAAGAGUAGGAGAAAAGUUAUCCAAAGAUGUUUGUGGACAAAUGUUAGUUUACAUUUUUAUUUUUUUUAAGAGUACUUAUAAAAAGAAACUUUCUUACUUAAAAAGCAAGUUCCAAACAUUACUGUAGACAAAGAAGUUAUUAAAUGUAACAUCUUAUUUUUAAGCUCAUCUUAGAAAAACAUUAAUUUUUAACUUAAAAUAAAGAAAAGUGAGUUAUCCAGGCAAGUUUUCAAGAAAACAUGUUUGUAAAUAGUUACUUAUUAAGUAACUUUACUUUUUUUAAGCUUAGCUAAAAAUAUUGUUAUAAAUUUUUAUUUUUAAAUACUUCUACACUUUUCCAAUAUGGCGUUUCACCAUUAAACACAGAACUUUCAUCCUACACCUAACCACCCUAAUCCUGUAUGGUGUACCAUACGCACCCUUAAUGCUGCUUUCCUAGAGCAAGGUUCAAGAGAGAAUUAAUAUGCAUGUACCUUAAUGUUACAAUCCAAAUAUAAGGCUAAAUAGAUUUGCACAGUAAGGUAAGUAGUUGAUAAACUGCUAAAAGCUAAAGCGAAUGCUAUAUCAAUUCCCACAUUCUUGAUAUCAGCUCUAUUUUCCCUCCACUUUUGUCAUAUUGCUAUCUAGUUGGCUUGUCUAUGUUUCAAAGUAAUUUUGUUACAUAUAUGGCUUGCUUAUUUUUCAUUUUUCAAAUUUGAUGUUAGGAUUUUGGGUUGUAUCCUGUGCUGAAAUAUCCAAAAUAUGCACUUCCUCUUUGGUAUUUUUUCAGUUUCUAAAGAAAAAAGUAAAGAAAUUAAUCCUCUCCUUCUACGAGUUUUAGAGCUUGUUUGGCAUGGCUUUUGAAAAUCAAAAAGUCGUUUCUGAGACUAAGUAGUAGUUUUGAGUCUUGUUAAGUGAAAAUGCUUUGUCUUACUAGAAAAGCUUUAACAAAUGCUUUUCUAGAAAAAGCAAAACAGCAAAAACUUCUCCGAACAGGCCGUUACUAUUCAUUUCCACAUUGAGUACCUGACUAUAUUCUGCUUUCAGGUUUGAGAGAGAACGUACAUGUCCUUUGUGCCGAGCUUUGGUGAAACCUGUGGAUCUCAGAUCAUUUGGUGACGGAUCUACAAGUCUAUUUUUUCAGUUAUUCUAAACUGCCAGUGAGUAUAACUGGGAAGUUUUCUGCUUUGAAGCCUAAAUUGUCAUCCAGAGCAGCUGUCUCCUGAUCAUCUUGUUAUAUGGAAAAUUUAACUGUAACUAUUAAAAGUUGCUGGUGAUGUUGAAACUUAGUCUGGGGUCGGCUUUGUCUGUUGUUGGGUUGUAAUGAGAAAUGUAUGUAAUGGGUUCCUAAAGCGACAGGAGUUAUAUUUUUAUGAUAUAUACACAAAUACAACAGUUAGAGCCAUAUAUGAGAGCUUUUCAAGUCAGAACUCUGAUUGCCAUAUCUGCAUGUGUGAGAUGGUC
This 2789-nucleotide long non-coding RNA is filed under the name Olea europaea subsp. europaea. Lineage: Eukaryota; Viridiplantae; Streptophyta; Magnoliopsida; Lamiales; Oleaceae. The record is from RNAcentral.